Molecule: ribosomal RNA, 496 nt
Filed under: uncultured bacterium
Lineage: Bacteria
Description: partial 16S ribosomal RNA
Rfam family: Bacterial small subunit ribosomal RNA
Source: RNAcentral
AUGAACGCUGGCGGCGUGCCUAAUACAUGCAAGUCGAGCGAACAGACGAGGAGCUUGCUCCUCUGACGUUAGCGGCGGACGGGUGAGUAACACGUGGAUAACCUACCUAUAAGACUGGGAUAACUUCGGGAAACCGGAGCUAAUACCGGAUAAUAUAUUGAACCGCAUGGUUCAAUAGUGAAGGACGGUUUUGCUGUCACUUAUAGAUGGAUCCGCGCCGCAUUAGCUAGUUGGUAAGGUAACGGCUUACCAAGGCGACGAUGCGUAGCCGACCUGAGAGGGUGAUCGGCCACACUGGAACUGAGACACGGUCCAGACUCCUACGGGAGGCAGCAGUAGGGAAUCUUCCGCAAUGGGCAAAAGCCUGACGGAGCAACGCCGCGUGAGUGAUGAAGGUCUUCGGAUCGUAAAACUCUGUUAUUAGGGAAGAACAAAUGUGUAAGUAACUAUGCACGUCUUGACGGUACCUAAUCAGAAAGCCACGGCUAACUACGUG